Molecule: ribosomal RNA, 253 nt
Filed under: uncultured microorganism
Description: partial 16S ribosomal RNA
Rfam family: Bacterial small subunit ribosomal RNA
Source: RNAcentral
UACGUAGGGUGCGAGCGUUAAUCGGAUUUACUGGGCGUAAAGCGUGCGCAGGCGGCCCGUUAAGACAGGUGUGAAAUCCCUGGGCUCAACCUAGGAAUUGCGCUUGUGACUGGCGGCCUCGAGUACGGUAGAGGGGGGUGGAAUUCCCGGUGUAGCAGUGAAAUGCGUAGAGAUCAGGAGGAACACCGAUGGCGAAGGCAGCCCCCUGGGCCUGUACUGACGCUCAUGCACGAAAGCGUGGGGAGCAAACAGG